RNAcentral lists this unclassified non-coding RNA (401 nucleotides) under Melitaea cinxia (Glanville fritillary). RNAcentral's name for it is "misc RNA ENSMCXG00005007864.1". The record is from RNAcentral. Lineage: Eukaryota; Metazoa; Arthropoda; Insecta; Lepidoptera; Nymphalidae.
AUAUAUAUAUUGUUAGCAUAAUCUCGAUUAUUUUAAUACGUUUCGUGACGUCAUGCAACAGUGUUAAUAAAAAUAGUUCCCUACCCGCUAAUACGUUUUGUAACGUCAUGCAACAACGUCAAUAAAAGCAGUCCCUACCCGUUCAGAGGGCUCUUUUGCUUCUCGGCUUUCGGAACGAUAGGUCGUUGUUUCAUGACGAGUGCGUUGAUCAUUUUUAUAUUCAAAGUGACGGUUGUUUGCUUGGUUAAUUUAAAUUGUAAUUCUCGGUCAUUAUUUUCGAUUAAGUUAGUAGUUAAGGUUAAUUUUUGUGAUAAUUGUUAUAUUUGUAAAAAUGAGUAAUAAAUAGAAGUUAAGUGUUCGGUUCUCUGUCUUUUUUUUAAAUAAAUAAGUUUGUUUCUCCU